This 253-nucleotide ribosomal RNA is filed under the name uncultured bacterium. Its description in RNAcentral is "partial 16S ribosomal RNA". It matches the Rfam family "Bacterial small subunit ribosomal RNA", at positions 524 to 776 of the family's 1533-position model. The record is from RNAcentral.
UACGGGGGGGGCAAGCGUUGUUCGGAAUUACUGGGCGUAAAGGGCUCGUAGUCGGCCAACUAAGUCGGACGUGAAAUCCCCAGGCUCAACCUGGGAACUGCGUCCGAUACUGGAUGGCUUGAAUCCGGGAGAGGGAUGCAGAAUUCCAGGUGUAGCGGUGAAAUGCGUAGAUAUCUGGAGGAAUACCGGUGGCGAAGGCGGCAUCCUGGACCGGCAUUGACGCUGAGGAGCGAAAGCCAGGGGAGCAAACGGG